GCGGACGUGGCGGAACUGGUAGACGCACUGGAUUUAGGUUCCAGCGGCUAACGUCGUGGGGGUUCAAGUCCCUCCGCCCGCACCA
RNAcentral lists this transfer RNA (85 nucleotides) under Hyphomonadaceae bacterium. Its description in RNAcentral is "tRNA-Leu". It matches the Rfam family "tRNA". Rfam says of the family: Transfer RNA (tRNA) molecules are approximately 80 nucleotides in length. The record is from RNAcentral. Lineage: Bacteria; Pseudomonadati; Pseudomonadota; Alphaproteobacteria; Hyphomonadales; Hyphomonadaceae.